RNAcentral lists this ribosomal RNA (274 nucleotides) under uncultured bacterium. RNAcentral's name for it is "partial 16S ribosomal RNA". It matches the Rfam family "Bacterial small subunit ribosomal RNA", at positions 523 to 796 of the family's 1533-position model. The record is from RNAcentral.
AUACGGAGGGUGCAAGCGUUGUUCGGAAUCACUGGGCGUAAAGGGCGCGCAGGCGGUUUGGUAAGUCAGAUGUGAAAGCCCAUGGCUCAACCAUGGAAGUGCAUUUGAAACUGCCAGACUUGAGUACUAGAGGGGAAAGUGGAAUUCCCGGUGUAGAGGUGAAAUUCGUAGAUAUCGGGAGGAAUACCGGUGGCGAAGGCGACUUUCUGGCUAGAUACUGACGCUGAGGCGCGAAAGCGUGGGGAGCAAACAGGAUUAGAUACCCCGGUAGUCC